GGUAGAUCUGUUGACAUCGCCAUGGCAACUGUAAACGCUCUCCUCUCUCGAAACUACAGUUUCUCAGCUCCCAAUUAAUUUGGUGAAAAAUGUUCUCUCUGUGUUUCUGUGAUGUUGUCGCUACGUCCCCAGGCAGUGUUGGCUGGUUGUCAGUUUUUAUGAGCCGCGAUAAUGAAAGAAAUGGACACGUCAUUGUCCUCUACUUUGGGUUCUGAGAGACUGGAGAAACUACAGCUCAUCGCCCUACACACAACCCAGCUCUGUACAUGCAUGUACACACACACACACGUACAAUCUUAACCUCACCCACGCCCUACCCCCAUCCCUCACCAGAUCUUGUUAUGCAGCCUUCCAUUGAACAUGUCUUGACAAAUCUCCAAUCUACACUACUGAAGCUGAUAUGCAAUGCCCUCAUCCCAGCCGGCCUUCACCGGUCCUGACUUGGCAGCGGCUCGACAUGCCCCGACACGUCCCCAGCCAACCACACUCCCGGUCAACCAGAAAUGGACCUCCCUUGACUUGACUAUAAAUAGGUUAUAGAAGAACAG
Molecule: long non-coding RNA, 548 nt
Filed under: Salmo salar (Atlantic salmon)
Lineage: Eukaryota; Metazoa; Chordata; Actinopteri; Salmoniformes; Salmonidae
Description: lncRNA (ENSSSAG00000118518.1)
Source: RNAcentral